ACUCAAAUGAAUUGACGGGGGCCCGCACAAGCGGUGGAGCAUGUGGUUUAAUUCGAUGCAACGCGAAGAACCUUACCUACCCUUGACAUCCUAGGAAUUUUACAGAGAUGUAGAAGUGCCGAAAGGAACCUAGAGACAGGUGCUGCAUGGCUGUCGUCAGCUCGUGUUGUGAGAUGUUGGGUUAAGUCCCGUAACGAGCGCAACCCUUAUUGUUAGUUGCUAACCACGCAAGUGGAGCACUCUAAUGAGACUGCCGGUGGUGAACCGGAGGAAGGUGGGGACGACGUCAAGUCAUCAUGGCCUUUAUGGGUAGGGCUACACACGUGCUACAAUGGGCGGUACAGAGGGAAGCGAAGCGGCGACGUGGAGCGAAUCCUUGAAAGCCGUUCUAAGUCCAGAUCGGAGUCUGCAACUCGACUCCGUGAAGUCGGAAUCGCUAGUAAUCGCGAAUCAGCAUGUCGCGGUGAAUACGUUCCCGGGCCUUGUACACACCGCCCGU
RNAcentral lists this ribosomal RNA (499 nucleotides) under uncultured bacterium. Its description in RNAcentral is "partial 16S ribosomal RNA". It matches the Rfam family "Bacterial small subunit ribosomal RNA", at positions 899 to 1397 of the family's 1533-position model. The record is from RNAcentral.